ACGUAUCCAAACCAAUGUCAUUUGUUUGCGGUGGUGUGGUUGAUGUUCAGAUGAACAUAGCUAACGAGAAGAUUUUAGUACUUUGGGAAUCAAAGAAGAGACUUUUGUUUGCACUGCAAUGUUUCACUGAGCCUGAUACGAUUCACCAAACGUAUUAUAGGAAGAAACCAGAGCCACGUCAGCUGAGUAUUAUUGAGAAGACUGAUGACGUGGAAGUGGUGGAAUCAAUUAGAGUCUUCGCAAAGAAAGAAGGAAAGAAGAAAGUCUCUGAUUGGGAAGGAGGGUUUGCAGUUACGGAAGAAGAAGGGAAGGAAGGGGCUUUAAAGAGCCGUUGAAGCUUUCUUCCCCAUUCAUGCUUAUUCUGAAUUGUGAUUUCUCAGGUGAUGUGCUUGAGGCUCUGGUGAUGUGCUAGAGUUUGAUCUAUGUUGAUCAUUGUUUCCCUUUCAGAUUAAGUUUCUCCUUUCUCAGAUUUGCUAAUUACAAUCUCUGUAAUUGCAGAUCUCUUGGCUGAUCAUAAAUCGGAGUGUGUGAGAGAGUUGGGUGAUCGAUACUCCUAACAUUGGUGCGGUGAAACUGGGUUUGGGACGAUCGUGAUGGCUACGAUGAGUGAAUCUGAGGUGUUUGAGAGUGAGGAAUUUUUUGCGAAUGCGGAUGCGAAUCAAUUGCAGUUUUUGCAGGGUGGUUUCAAGCGUUUGUGUCUCGCGAAGGUUGAACAGGGGGCGAAGCUUGAUUCGUUGGAGGAGAUGUUGCGAUCUGUGAUGGCGUCGUUGGGAAAGUUGGAGAAGAGCGCUGGAAAACAACAUGAACUUCCGGAGCAGCUGUCGCCGUCUCCGGGUGUGUCUUCUUCGUCCGAUCACCGUUCGCAACGUAUGGAUAGUGGAAAUCUACCGUUGGAGAACAGAUCUAGCUUGUUGCGCAAGAUCGAGAUGCCGGUGUUUGAUGGAUCACAGCCGUAUGAGUGGUUCUCGAAGGUAGAAAACUUUUUCCGUGUGGGUCGUUAUACGGAUUAUGAUAAACUGGAUUUGGUUGGAUUGAGUCUCGCCGGUGAUGUGUUGAAAUGGUUUAAUUGGGAGAUGUGUCGUAAUGAGUUUCGAUCUUGGGCUGAGUUCCGUCGUCGACUGUUUUUGCGUUUUGGGGUUGCCAUUGGUGACGAUCCUGGUAAUCGUUUAUUCGCGCUAAAACAGCGUGGUACUGUGGCGGCUUAUGUUUCGGAAUUUGAGGAUUUGUCUGUCCAGGUUCCUAAUCUUGAUGAUUCACAUUUGGAACAGAUAUUUUAUAAUGGUUUGAAGCAGGAGAUGCAGGAGGUAUUGAAGAUGAAAGAACCACAAGGUUUGGAUUACCAGAAAGCUGCUGUUCUGAGAAUGGAAUCUAGUUCUUUUUGUCAAUUGAUUAGUGAAAAAAAAACACCGUUUGGGCACCAGCAGAAGACAUAUCCAGUUCGUUACAAUUCUCCUGUGCCUAAACCAGUGGUGCUUACAGGGAGUUCUUCUUCUUCUACAAGGGCUACCAAUUUGAAACCACCAGAGCAGCGUCAUACAGCAGAAGAAUUGGAUGCUAUGCGUAGUAAACGCAUCUGUUUCAAGUGUAAGGGGAAUUAUUUUCGGGGCCAUAACUGUCCUCUGCGGGAGUUGCGUGUUUUGACAGUGGUGGAAGGUUUUGAGUUGGAGGUUAUAGCUGAGGAUGCUGUCGAAGAGUUCGAGGAUACUCCCAUUCAAUCUCCUGUUUUGUGUAGUUUGUCCCUUAAUUCAUUCUUGGGCAAACAUUCUUAUCGCACAACGAAGCUCAAAGGGGUUAUUGGAAAGUAUACAGUGGUGAUUUUGUUGGAUUCUGGAGCAUCUCAUAAUUUUAUAACUCCUUCUGUGGCCAAACGUUUGAAGUUAGCAGUCAGUACGGAUAAUAAUUUGGAGGUUAUGUUGGGAAAUGGUGUUUCUGUUCACGGUUCUGGCAUCUGUAAAGGGGUCAAAUUCUCUUUGGGAAAUGUGGAAUUUCAGAAUGAUUUUAUCUCUUUGGACCUUGGUGGUGUGGAUAUUAUUUUGGGAGUUCAAUGGUUGGAGACAUUGGGUAAGUGUGAAGUUGAUUGGAAGUUACAAGAAUGGCGUUUCACUUAUGCGGGUAAGACAGUUACUUUGGUUGGCGAUCGCUCUUUACAUGGGCGUGUUCUGUCUCUUAAACCCCUUGUCCACUCUCAAUCAAUGUUAGCUACUUGUCACGAUUUUCCUUUAGCCAACACUCCUUUGUUGGCUGCCACCAGUCCUUUGGAUCCGGGUUUGUCGCCAGUUUUGGAUAGUCUUGCUGCAGUUUUUGCUGUUCCAUCUGGUUUACCUCCCAUGCGAGGUUUAGAGCAUGCUAUUACUUUAAAGCCAGGUGUACAGGCUAUUACAGUGAGGCCAUAUCGCUAUCCUCACGCCACUAAAACAGUGAUGGAACAAAUGGUGGCUGAGAUGUUAUCCAGUGGUAUUAUUCGUCCUAGUACUAGUCCUUUCUCUAGUCCUGUGCUUUUGGUUAAGAAAAAGGACGCUUCUUGGCGGUUUUGUGUAGAUUAUCGUGCCUUGAAUAGAGCGACAGUGCCGGAUAAGUUUCCUAUUCCUGUCAUCGAUCAGUUACUCGAUGAGUUACAUGGGGCUGUGAUUUUCUCAAAAAUUGAUUUGCGCUCCGGGUAUCAUCAAAUUCGUAUGCGAGAUAGUGAUAUACACAAGACAGCUUUUCGAACAUUGGAAGGUCACUACGAAUUUUUGGUAAUGCCUUUUGGCUUGACCAACGCCCCAGCCACUUUUCAAGCUUUAAUGAACAAGGUUUUCCGUCCUUAUUUACGCCAAUUUGUGGUGGUUUUCUUCGAUGAUAUUCUUGUUUAUAGUGCAAGUUUGACAGCCCAUGUGCAACAUUUGGAGUUGGUUUUACAGUUACAGUUGAUCACCUAUUUGCUAAUCAAAAGAAGUGUCUGUUUGGUGUUCCACAAGUUGAAUAUCUUGGUCACAUUAUCUCUGCUGCAGGCGUUGCCACAGAUGCAGCCAAAACCGAAGCUAUGUUAGCUUGGCCUACUCCUACUAAUCUCAAGCAACUUCGGGGUUUUUUGGGGUUAACGGGUUACUAUCGCAAGUUUGUUCAAGGGUAUGGCAUGAUAGCUAAACCUUUAACGGAGUUACUCAAGAAAGAUCAGUUUUUGUGGUCCCCUGUGGCUCAGGUUGCGUUUGAGGAUCUCAAGCAUGCUAUGGCUGCAGCACCUGUAUUGGGGCUACCUGAUUUUGACAAGGUAUUUACUAUUGAAACUGAUGCAUCUGGCACUGGCGUGGGAGCAGUGUUAACACAAGAGAAACGACCAUUGGCCUAUUUCAGCCAUGGUUUAACCGCUCGGGAACAACUGAAACCAGCGUAUGAACGGGAAUUGAUGGCUAUUGUUAUGGCUGUGCUGAAGUGGAAACAUUAUCUUUUGGGGCGGAAAUUUGAGGUUCAUACAGACCAGCGGAGUUUGAAGUUUCUCUUGGAACAAAAAGAGGUGAACAUGGAGUAUCAGCGUUGGUUGACUAAGUUGCUCGGUUUUGAUAUGGACAUUCUUUAUAAGCCUGGGGUAGAGAACAAGGCGGCAGAUGGUCUCUCUAGGAUUCCUCAUUCGUUGGCUCCCUCUCUUAUGGCAGUCACUGUUCCAUCUAUCAUUCAACUGCAGGACUUAUACAAAGAGAUUGAUGCUGACUCCACUAUUCAAACGUUGAUUGCACAACUACAGAGUACUACUGCUCCGGUACGCCAUUACACAGUGGUGAAUGGCCGUUUGUGGUAUAAAAGGCGACUGGUGAUUCCCAAAUCUUCUGUGUUUAUUCCUUUGAUCUUACAUGAGUUUCAUGCUACUCAAGUGGGUGGUCAUGCUGGGAUUUUGAAGACAUUAAAGCGUAUUCAAGCAUGUUUUCAUUGGGAGGGAAUACAGAAAGUGGUUCAAAAAUUUGUUCUCCAAUGUGCUGUCUGUCAAACACACAAGUAUUCUACUCUUGCUCCAGCAGGGUUGCUUCAACCUCUGCCCAUUCCUACAGCUAUUUGGGAGGAUUUAUCUCUGGACUUUAUUGAAGGGUUGCCCAUGUCUGGUGGGGUGAAUGUGAUAUUAGUGGUGGUGGAUCGUUUGAGUAAAUAUGCUCAUUUUCUUGGCCUUAAACACCCAUUUAAGGCUAUUGAUGUUGCUCAGAAGUUCAAUUCCGAAAUUGUGCGACUUCACGGUUUUCCAAAAACAUUGGUUUCUGACAGAGAUCGCAUUUUUCUGGGAAAACUGUGGACUGAACUGUUUCGUUUGUCGGGUACUACAUUGAAGUUUAGUACUGCGUAUCACCCUCAAACGGAUGGACAGACGGAGGUCUUGAAUCGUUGUUUAGAAACAUAUUUGCGUUGUUUCGCUUCCAGCCACCCGCGUGCUUGGUAUAAAUUCUUAUCGUGGGCUGAGUAUUCUUACAACACGUCUUACCACUCUGCUCUUAAGUCCACCCCUUUCAACUUGGUCUAUGGUCGCGAUCCACCGCAAUUACUUUCCUUUGAGCCGGGUUCUACUACUAACUGGGAUUUGGAGGUUCAAUUAAGGGAAAGGGAUAUGAUGUUGACUCGGAUCCGCGCAAAUUUACAACGGGCUCAGGAUAUUAUGAAGAAGAACGCUGAUAAGAAGCGUCGUGAGGUCGUGUAUGAGGUGGGUUCUUGGGUUUAUCUGAAACUCCAACCCUAUCGCCAAUUGACUGUGGUUCGCCGGAAUUGUCAUAAGUUGGCUGCUAAAUUUUUUGGCCCAUUUCAAGUGGUGGAACGCAUUGGCGCUGUCGCUUAUCGUUUGAAAUUACCGGUCACGGCUAAAAUUCAUGAUGUCUUUCACGUCUCUCAACUGAAGGCCGUUUUGGGUGAUCAUCAACAAGCUCAGUUCACUGAUCCUCCAGAACUGGUCGAAGACGAGUUCUUGUUUCCAGCCAAAGUUUUGGACGUUCGUUUCAACUCCACAGGCGGACGCGAGUUCCUCAUCCAAUGGCAUGAUCGAUCCGUGGAGGAGAAUUCCUGGAUGUUGUCAAAGGAAUUCGUCAGUUUGUUUCCUGAUUUCAAGCUUGAGGACAAGCUGGUUCUCCGGGAUGGGAGUAUUGAUACGAUUCACCAAACGUAUUAUAGGAAGAAACCAGAGCCACGUCAGCUGAGUAUUAUUGAGAAGACUGAUGACGUGGAAGUGGUGGAAUCAAUUAGAGUCUUCGCAAAGAAAGAAGGAAAGAAGAAAGUCUCUGAUUGGGAAGGAGGGUUUGCAGUUACGGAAGAAGAAGGGAAGGAAGGGGCUUUAAAGAGCCGUUGAAGCUUUCUUCCCCAUUCAUGCUUAUUCUGAAUUGUGAUUUCUCAGGUGAUGUGCUUGAGGCUCUGGUGAUGUGCUAGAGUUUGAUCUAUGUUGAUCAUUGUUUCCCUUUCAGAUUAAGUUUCUCCUUUCUCAGAUUUGCUAAUUACAAUCUCUGUAAUUGCAGAUCUCUUGGCUGAUCAUAAAUCGGAGUGUGUGAGAGAGUUGGGUGAUCGAUACUCCUAACAGAGCCACAGGGUUUGUAUGUGGCUGUUAGAUGCAUUGCACCAUCUGCUCCGGAACUCGGUAAGCUUGCGUACUUUCUCUUCUACUCCAUGGAUGGACACUCUCUUACUUAUAAGUCUCCAGACGUGAAGAGAGUUGUUGAACUGAGCUCUGAAACCCCUCAAGACAAUUUCAUGUUUGUCCCUCACUCUCUAUUGCGUGGUGAAUCGUUGGAGAUGAAGAUUGCCAUUGGACUUAAGGUUUAAUUCUGCUAGGUCAUAAAGUGACUUGCGUUGAAAUAUUUAUGUUUUGGCCUGAUAAA
RNAcentral lists this long non-coding RNA (5819 nucleotides) under Capsella rubella. RNAcentral's name for it is "long non-coding RNA (CRUB_LNC000234)". The record is from RNAcentral. Lineage: Eukaryota; Viridiplantae; Streptophyta; Magnoliopsida; Brassicales; Brassicaceae.